UACGGAGGGUGCGAGCGUUAAUCGGAAUAACUGGGCGUAAAGGGCACGCAGGCGGGGUUUUAAGUCAGAUGUGAAAUCCCCGGGCUUAACCUGGGAAUAGCAUUUCAGACUGGGGGUCUAGAGUACUUUAGGGAGGGGUGGAAUUCCAGGUGUAGCGGUGAAAUGCGUAGAUAUGGGGAGGAAUACCGAAGGCGAAGGCGGCCCCUUGGGAAUGUACUGACGCUGAUGUGCGAAAGCGUGGGGAGCAAACAGG
This 253-nucleotide ribosomal RNA is filed under the name uncultured bacterium. Its description in RNAcentral is "partial 16S ribosomal RNA". It matches the Rfam family "Bacterial small subunit ribosomal RNA", at positions 524 to 776 of the family's 1533-position model. The record is from RNAcentral.